This 353-nucleotide unclassified non-coding RNA is filed under the name soil metagenome. Its description in RNAcentral is "partial contains 5.8S ribosomal RNA, internal transcribed spacer 2, and large subunit ribosomal RNA". The stretch from base 1 to 120 matches the Rfam family "5.8S ribosomal RNA", at positions 35 to 154 of the family's 154-position model. The record is from RNAcentral.
GAUGAAGAACGUAGCGAAAUGCGAUAAGUAAUGUGAAUUGCAGAAUUCAGUGAAUCAUCGAAUCUUUGAACGCACAUUGCGCCCGCCAGUAUUCUGGCGGGCAUGCCUGUUCGAGCGUCAUUACAACCCUCAGGCCCCCGGGCCUGGCGUUGGGGAUCGGCGGAAGCCCCCUGCGGGCACAACGCCGUCCUCCAAAUACAGUGGCGGUCCCGCCGCAGCUUCCAUUGCGUAGUAGCUAACACCUCGCAACUGGAGAGCGGCGCGGCCACGCCGUAAAACACCCAACUUCUGAAUGUUGACCUCGAAUCAGGUAGGAAUACCCGCUGAACUUAAGCAUAUCAAUAAGGGGAGGA